Molecule: RNA transcript, 1490 nt
Organism: Elaeis guineensis (African oil palm)
Lineage: Eukaryota; Viridiplantae; Streptophyta; Magnoliopsida; Arecales; Arecaceae
Gene name: plant UBX domain-containing protein 1
Source: RefSeq, a predicted model, not a curated record
GCCCGUAACUUUCUUGCAAAGCAUCCCUGACACCUCCAGGAGAGGGGCUCCCCUGGAAAGUUCUGCCGGUUUUCAUCAAAUGAAACUUUAGUUAGAGGAUUCUUGUCCGGGACGGAUUUUGGCAAGAAACCCUUCUACUUCUUUAUAAGCACGAAUCCUCCGGAAGUUCGAUUCCUGAACCAAGAAGAAUCGCCUGAGAUCGAUCCAUGGAGGGAGAGCAAGCCAAGGUCAAGCUUUUGGCUGUGGCGGAAGAACUUGGUCAUGAGAUACGUGUAUUCACAAACUCAGCAACUUCUGCAGCAUCCAAAGAAAUGUCUGCUUCUUCAAAUGAGGAACCGGAUGAUUUCUAUGAUCUUACUCCUGAAGAUUAUUAUCAAAUCAUGUCAGACAGAAUAGGAGCCCAAUCCCAAGUUUUAAAGACCCGUAAAAUGCGGGAAGCAGAGGCAGAAGCCCGCAGGGCAAGGAUCACCAAGGCUGUAAUCAGGGUUCACUUCCCUGAUAAUUACAUUCUUGAGGCAAAGUUUCAGCCAUCAGAGAAAAUUGAAAGCUUGAUGCAUCUUCUCAUGAAAGUUCUUGCUCGACCAGACUUGCCAUUCUAUUUAUUUACAACUCCUCCUAAGGAGCGAAUCAAAGACACUUCAAAGGAUUUCUAUUCGGCUGGCUUUGCUCCUGGAGCUAUAGUUUACUUUUCUUAUGACCUGCCGAAAGAUAAAGAGUCUGAUGGUGCAGUUGCAAAGACAGGGCCUUACCUUCGUGAUGAUAUCUUGUCUUUGAAUGGAUUGGAUUUUACUUCUGAAAAGGUGGAUCCUGUCACUUCUGAACCAGAACCUCCAGCAGUGGAGACGUCCCCUGCUGUACCUGAUCCUAAGCCACCUGUGAAGAAGCCAACUAAACCAAAGUGGCUUAAAUUGUGAAAGAUUGAAAGGACAAGGAUGAUGCACAAGAUUAUAUGCACAAGGUUCUUUCCAUAUUUAUGAGCUAUUGGAGAGUGGUAUCUCCACUGCUUGGUCGAGUUUGAUUAGAUGGAGAAAAGAUUAAGUCUGGUGGCACAGAAUUAAAUUACAUCACUCAGAAAUGUGAUAGGGUUUGGACCUUGACGCAUGGUAAUAAAGGAUUGGUACUUCAGGGCAAUGUAUAUUAUGAGCUGACCAAGACGAAGGGAUAUUAUGAGUCUCCAUCUAAUUUCACUGUUGUGGGUGGUGUUGCGCUUAAACAAGUUCAGAAGGAACUUUCAAAGGAUGCCCGCUUCAGAAUGAUGUUACAACAGAUUCACUUGAUGUUGUAUGGAUAGACUGUUAUUUUACGAGAUGUCUUCGGACUUCGUCUGUUCCCAGUGGAAAAUGCUUCUCCUUAUCAUUUUGUUCCUAUGCUGAUAUUAUCCAAGUUAAAUUCUCAAGGAUACUUGAUCUUUUUAACAUGUGUCACUGGUUAUUGUGCUAAAAAAAUGUUCAAAAGAUGAAAAUAAAGCAAAAAUAUUUGAAAUCCUGUCA